Molecule: transfer RNA, 64 nt
Filed under: Hospesneotomae protracta (western bloodsucking conenose)
Lineage: Eukaryota; Metazoa; Arthropoda; Insecta; Hemiptera; Reduviidae
Description: Triatoma protracta (western bloodsucking conenose) tRNA-Tyr
Source: RNAcentral
GAUAAAGUGGCUGAAUUUUAGGCGGUAAAUUGUAAAUUUAUUUAUGGUUAAGAACCCUUUAUUA